RNAcentral lists this ribosomal RNA (519 nucleotides) under uncultured eukaryote. Its description in RNAcentral is "bacterial SSU rRNA". It matches the Rfam family "Eukaryotic small subunit ribosomal RNA", at positions 1161 to 1643 of the family's 1831-position model. The record is from RNAcentral.
AGGGCACCACCAGGAGUGGAGCCUGCGGCUUAAUUUGACUCAACACGGGAAAACUUACCCGGCCCGGACACUGGAAGGAUUGACAGAUUGAGAGCUCUUUCUUGAUUCAGUGGGUGGUGGUGCAUGGCCGUUCUUAGUUGGUGGAGCGAUUUGUCUGGUUAAUUCCGAUAACGAGCGAGACUCUAGCCUACUAAAUAGACUGUUCAGCUUUAUAGCCGGAAUCACCGGGCAUGUAGCUCUCACGGGUUGCAUGUUCGGCUCUGGUGACGUUGGCAGUGCUUCUUAGAGGGACAGGCGGCGGUUCAGCCGCACGAAACAGAGCAAUAACAGGUCUGUGUUGCCCUUAGAUGUCCGGGGCUGCACGCGCGCUACACUGAAGUGAUCAGCGUGCAAUUUACGUUUGGUGAUCUGUCAAGAUUGCCCAACCCGUUGAACCUUCUUCGUGAUUGGGAUAGGGGAUUGUAAUUAUUCCCCUUGAACGAGGAAUUCCCAGUAAGCGCAAGUCAUAAGCUUGCGUUG